AUACUUACCUGGCAGUGGAGAUACCAUGAUCACGAAGGUGGUUUUCCCAGGGCGAGGCUUAUCCAUCGCACUCCGGAUAUGCUGACCCCUGCGAUUUUCCCAAAUGUGGGAUACUCGACUGCAUAAUUUGUGGUAGUGGGGGACUGUGCUUGCGCUUUCCCCUG
Gorilla gorilla gorilla (western lowland gorilla) is the source of this 164-nucleotide small nuclear RNA. Its record names the gene U1. It matches the Rfam family "U1 spliceosomal RNA". From Rfam's summary of the family: U1 is a small nuclear RNA (snRNA) component of the spliceosome (involved in pre-mRNA splicing). Its 5' end forms complementary base pairs with the 5' splice junction, thus defining the 5' donor site of an intron. The record is from Ensembl. NCBI's taxonomy places the organism in Eukaryota, Metazoa, Chordata, Mammalia, Primates, Hominidae.